GUGGGCCAUCCAUAUAGCUGCCGCUCUCCUAAAGCGGGUGUCGCAUGUUCGAAUCAUGCCGGGGGCACCA
This 70-nucleotide transfer RNA is filed under the name Streptosporangium sandarakinum. RNAcentral's name for it is "tRNA-Arg". It matches the Rfam family "tRNA". Rfam says of the family: Transfer RNA (tRNA) molecules are approximately 80 nucleotides in length. Their secondary structure includes four short double-helical elements and three loops (D, anti-codon, and T loops). Further hydrogen bonds mediate the characteristic L-shaped molecular structure. tRNAs have two regions of fundamental functional importance: the anti-codon, which is responsible for specific mRNA codon recognition, and the 3' end, to which the tRNAs corresponding amino acid is attached (by aminoacyl-tRNA synthetases). tRNAs cope with the degeneracy of the genetic code in two manners: having more than one tRNA (with a specific anti-codon) for a particular amino acid; and 'wobble' base-pairing, i.e. permitting non-standard base-pairing at the 3rd anti-codon position. The record is from RNAcentral. Lineage: Bacteria; Bacillati; Actinomycetota; Actinomycetes; Streptosporangiales; Streptosporangiaceae.